This is a long non-coding RNA of Epinephelus fuscoguttatus (brown-marbled grouper), 1202 nucleotides long. RefSeq lists it as uncharacterized. The transcript has 3 exons. NCBI's taxonomy places the organism in Eukaryota, Metazoa, Chordata, Actinopteri, Perciformes, Serranidae. The record is from RefSeq and is a predicted model, not a curated record.
UGAUAACGCCGCCUGACAUUGUGGGUAAACAGGGAGCAUAUCUGAAGCCUUAUCAGCGGGCAGUUUGAGCUCUCAGCCUCCUUUCUGUUCAGAGGCUGUGAUGGUCACAGGAAGCAGACCUCUAUCAGUCCACAGCUCAUCUCCCCGUCUCCAGCAGACUGUACUUAUCAUCAACAUCAGAGGUCGUGUGAAGGAGGUCAGGGUGGAUGGUCGCACAAACUCAGGAUCAAACUCAGGUGUUUUUCUCUCCAGGCCCAUAUUCCACUAAAGAUGUUUGAAACAAGGAUCUAUAGUUUCAUCAGUAGUUUCCUCAAACAUCUGAGGAAAUGGAGACUUUGUUGGGGACUAUUUUCAGCAGCGGAUUCAUCUCGGGCUGCACAGUUAAUUAAAUCUCUUAUCACAAUCAUAAUUUUGGUUUUCCAUCCAUCCAUUUUCAUCUGCUUAUGUGGGUUGCAGGAGCAGCAGGCCAAGCAAAGCACUCCAGACAUCCCUCUCCUCAACAACACUUUCCAGCUCCUCCUGGAGGACCCCGAGGCGUUCCCAGACCAGAUGAGAUAUCUAAUCCCUCCAGUGUGUUCCGGGUCUGCCCCGGGGCCUCCUACCAGCUGGAUGUACCCAGAAAACCUCUAACAGGAGGAUCCUGAUCAGAUGCCUGAUCCCCUCAGUUGGCUCCUUUUGACAUGAAGGAGCAGCGGCUCUACUCCGAGCUCCCUCCAGAUGUCUGACUCCUCCCCCUAUCUCUAAAGGUGCUGACACACCAAACCGACAUCAAAGAACUAGCGGUGACUGUUGCGUCGUCUACGUCGCCUCACGUCGCCCUGUGUCAGUUGCAUUUGAACACACUACACGGACUACAUCCGACGGCCAAGUAGCACGUACGUUCUGCGCCUGCGUGAGAGAGAGCGGAGUGAGAGAGUGGUACAUCCUGUCAGCCGAGGGGUUUCCUAUCUGUGCAGCCGAGCACCGCAGCACCUCCACGGACUAUUACAUCCAGACGGUCCCGGUGUUUCCUCCGCAGGCUCCACUUCACUCAGCUGCCCGAUAAACCCGCUGCUUCUUCCCACUUUAACCUGAAUAACAAACCAGGGCUCGGUGCUCCGGUUGGAUCCAAACGGAGAGCCGGGGCUAGCUCAGAGACUAGCGGAGGCUAACUGGCUGUGCUUCCCUCCGGUCAUGCUGCGGCUAACGCUCCGCUAGCCGCU